Molecule: unclassified non-coding RNA, 145 nt
Filed under: uncultured Capnodiales
Lineage: Eukaryota; Fungi; Ascomycota; Dothideomycetes; Capnodiales
Description: sequence contains ITS1
Source: RNAcentral
CCGAGCGAGGGCCUCGCGCCCGACCUCCAACCCUUUGAAGUGACCAACUCUGUUGCCUUGGGGGCGACCCGGCCCCCGUGCCGGGGCCCCCAACGGACCACACAAACCCUGCGUUUUCGCGUCGGAGUUUAAAGGAAAUCAAUUA